CCUACGGGUGGCAGCAGUGGGGAAUAUUGGACAAUGGGCGAAAGCCUGAUCCAGCCAUGCCGCGUGUGUGAAGAAGGCCUUCGGGUUGUAAAGCACUUUCAGUGGGGAAGAAAGCCUUGGGGCUAAUACCCUCGAGGAAGGACAUCACCCACAGAAGAAGCACCGGCUAACUCCGUGCCAGCAGCCGCGGUAAUACGGAGGGUGCGAGCGUUAAUCGGAAUUACUGGGCGUAAAGCGCGCGUAGGCGGUCUGAUAAGCCGGUUGUGAAAGCCCCGGGCUCAACCUGGGAACGGCAUCCGGAACUGUCAGGCUAGAGUGCAGGAGAGGAAGGUAGAAUUCCCGGUGUAGCGGUGAAAUGCGUAGAGAUCGGGGGGAAUACCAGUGGCGAAGGCGGCCUUCUGGACUGACACUGACGCUGAGGUGCGAAAGCGUGGGUAGCAAACAGGAUUAGAUACCCGGGUAGUC
RNAcentral lists this ribosomal RNA (465 nucleotides) under Vreelandella stevensii. RNAcentral describes it as "partial 16S ribosomal RNA". It matches the Rfam family "Bacterial small subunit ribosomal RNA", at positions 338 to 795 of the family's 1533-position model. Lineage: Bacteria; Pseudomonadati; Pseudomonadota; Gammaproteobacteria; Oceanospirillales; Halomonadaceae. The record is from RNAcentral.